This 107-nucleotide small nuclear RNA is filed under the name Camelus bactrianus (Bactrian camel). The record is from RNAcentral. RNAcentral also lists the same sequence under 1 other name. Lineage: Eukaryota; Metazoa; Chordata; Mammalia; Artiodactyla; Camelidae.
GUGCUCACUCCGGCAGCACAUGUACUAAAAUUGGAACGAUACAGAGAAGAUUAGCAUGGCCCCUGCACAAGGAUGACAUGCAAAUUCAUGAAGCAUUCCAUGUUUUA